RNAcentral lists this long non-coding RNA (7608 nucleotides) under Phaseolus vulgaris (common bean). RNAcentral's name for it is "long non-coding RNA (PVUL_LNC004261)". Lineage: Eukaryota; Viridiplantae; Streptophyta; Magnoliopsida; Fabales; Fabaceae. The record is from RNAcentral.
AGAAUGCCACCCACCACCAGAAUGCCAUCCACCACUUUCUCCCCAACCAACUCCUUUGUUAGAGCCAUUUCCAUCCCGUCCACCACCUCUAGUGCCAUCUACACUCUGGUUAUCACGUCGAGCUCUUGCUUUUUCAACUAACAAGGUAUAACCUCCAAUCUCAGUUUGAUCCAGUUCUAGAGCUCUCUUCACACUGUCAAGAUCCUUGAAAUCUAGGACAGCAAACCUGCAAAUUUUGAUAUUUGACUUGAGACUAGAACGCUAUACACACUAAUUCUUGCACUAAUUAUGUUUAAGAGAUUUCAUGAGUUCUACUCAAGGUUUAUACAAGGGGAUAACAGGAGAAAUUUAAAAAAAGAGGUCAUAACUCUUAAAAUCCCACAUCCAUUAGAAAUAUGAUUAAAAUUAUAAUAAUAAGUGUAAACUUCUCUUUACUGAAGAUUGAAUUAGGUUUAAAGUUUCCUUUCUAAGAUGGUACCAGAGUAUACCAGAGUCUAUCCUAACAAGGUUUGUUGAGUCUAUCCUAACAAGACUUGUUGAGUCUAUCAAAUCCUCUUUCUUUUCCCACACUCGAUGAUAAGACCAAAAUUAUAAUAUAUAAGUGAAUACAAACCUCUCCUUAUUAGUUCAGAUUUACAAGAUUGAAUUAGACUUAAAGUCUACUUUCUAAUAAUUCCUAAAGGAAAUUUUUUGAUACCAUUGCCUUCUGUCUCUAUGACCUGGCCUUCUACUCAGUGGGAAGUUUUAUGCUCUAGGUGCCAAAUGAGAGGGAGAGAGAGAAAAAAGUAUUCAACAAAGAGCUAAUUCUAUUUGUGUAAAUAAGAUAGUUAAAAAAGUAAAGUAACAAAUAAAAAUAAAAUAAGUAUCACACUCUAUGUGUGGAGAUUACUGUAUAAUCUCUAGAUAACUUCCAACAGUUGUGUAAACAAAGUGAUUUUUAUCCAGUUGAUGAAUGAUGUUGAGAUAAAAAUUAUUUCCAGCAAGCAGCAUCCUAAACAAACAAGCAAAUGAACCUUUUCCUAUUCUAUUUGUCUAAAUUCAUUGAUUUCACUCUAGAGGUUGUGCUUAAUUGUUGUGCGUAUAAGCUGUUUAUGAGCCAGAGUCUCAAUCUUAAUAAAAAUGUUGCUCAAAUAACUACUGCAUUGAAUAUAACCAUAGGGAAGUCUUGGUAUAUGCAAAAGCAGAAAAAAUUAAUGAUAAGAAACGGACAUAAAUAAAAAAACAUUAAAAGGAAGAAAAAUAAGGAUUAUUCCUUAAGUGGUGAUUGGUAAAAGCAGAAAUGGCAUUUGGAAUAAAUCAAAAAAAUCAUUUUGCUUUUGCAAGCUCGCAAUAAAGUCUAGUAUCUUUCAUAUUUUCACUAAACCACCAUAGAUUCUCUACUUAUUUCAUUAAGCAACAUAUGGACUGCUGAAAGAUUUAUGUGAAUAAACGGAGAAUUAAUCUUUACAAAUUAACAAAAUCAAAUUGCAUACUACUGAUAUAGAUACGAAAAGGCUCAUAGGUAAAUGCAGUGGCAUGUCAAAACAUUUAACAGUAUAUUAUAACCUAACUUGCAUCAGAACAAGAACACAUACCCCUUAAAUGCACCAGAAUCAUAAAAUUUUGGAAUUGAUAUCCUCGUAAUCUCUCCACAAGAACCAAAAUGCUCUUCCAGGUUAGCUUUUAUCUGAAAGAAAAAAGUAGGCAUUAAAUACAGCUAAAUACUCGUGUUAAACCAAGCAAAGAGUCAAUAGAAAGAGAUUCAUACAAUGAGUGCAGGAAGUGGUGUAAACAAUAAAAAAUGAUAAGAGAAAAAAAGCUACCUCUUCUUCCAUGAGGGAACAAUCAAAACCCUUGACAUAUACUGCUAGAGAUUGGAAUGAGUUGCUCCAGUGGCUAAAAUUAUUAACAUGGAAACAUCAAAGGGAGAUAAUACAAGAUAAAAGAAAUCUAAAAAUACAAGAGAUUAAAGACUCAUCUCUAUUUGUUUUAAAAAUACAUUUUUAAUUAAUUUUUUUAAGAUAGAACAUAACUCAUGAAAAAAAGAUGAGUAAAAAACUAUAAUAUGAAAGUGCUUUUUUUCCAAAGCUUAUCCAAACACCCUGGACAAACGAGUAUAUAAAUACAUUACAAGGGACAGUAAACCAUGCAAAUGCACAGUGAAAAAAUGUAAAAUGUUCUCCAGUUCAAAAUGGCCAUGUUGAAAUACACAUUAGAACAAUUAGGCAGGAAUUUGUCCAAACACUAACUAAUUUACUCAAGAGUCAUGCACUUGCAUGAUUUUAUUAUGCAUGUGUAGAUAUGUAGAUUACCUUUUACUGUAGCUAUAACUUUUUUCUCGAGCUAAUUCAACUCUGAUGGGACGUCCAAACAAUUCUGUAUGAUCCAACACAAGAGCCUGUGAUAUAAAAGUAAAUUGAUUGUCAGCUCAAUGUCUUCGAUAAACAUAAACAAACAGAUGAUGAUGAGGCACAGCCAAACAGGCAUAAGAAAGCCUAGAAAUAUAAAUUCAAAACUAAUUGGUAUGCAAAGACAAAGGUUCAAACAAUGAAUGUAGCCAACAGCACCUAGUUAGUUGAGACUUGGUGGUUCUCGUUUCAGGAAUGAUAAAGGGGAUGGCUUUAUAGUAAAUGACCAUUGACCAUGUUAAGAAGCAGUAUAGAAGUUGCACCCUAUGAGCUGGCUAGAACAAUCUACAAUGCAUGAGUUAAAAAUGUUUGGAUGAGAUUGUUAGAAAAACUGCUUAUUUCCUAUUGUAAAACCAUCUUUGGUUGCAUACCGAUUAUAACCAUUCUGUUCAAAGUAAUCAGUAGGUGUCCUAAUCCUAGCUGAGAGAUAUAGUGUACUUUGUGUACUUUAUUUCUCUACUUGAUCUAAUCCUCUCUUACCUUCAUAUAUAAAGUACGUAAGUAAAAAACUAUAGCCCUGUCAAAUUUUCCCACCCGAAUUAUUGUGAACAUACAUGACUUGUUGUUAUAAAAUAAAAUUCUUUUCACAUGACUUUUAAAACAUGGACAUUGAAAUCGCAGGUCUGCAGUUUUGGAAUGCUUUGUUUGUUGUUACUGUAGAAGCAUGAAAUGGUUUAGAUGGAAUACUAAUGCUAUGGCCAUUUUAAUUAAAGAAGAUAAUAAAUUCUCAAUCUGUUCUACUUAUUUAAUUAUUGAUAUAACUUUAACUCAUAAACAUCUCCAAAUUUACUUCCAUGAAUUCAAACUCUCAUUUAGAAGUGUUCUCUAAACUCACAAUUUAGAAGAUUUUUUUUCAAAUUAAAAGAAAUGAAUGUGAAAAAAAAAUAUGUUUUUAAUAUUUAAAGAUAUGUCUUUAGAAUUAAUUCAUUUUAAAUUUUCUUCAAUAUUAGUUGUUAACAAAUAUAAAAUUAUGCACUUUCAUGGCUAUGAACAUUAAUCAGGAGGUAAAAGUAUACUAUUUUAUGUUAAAUGCAAACAAUAAAAACCUCAUGAGUUGACAUAGUAGUUUGACAUCACAGGUUCACACGAUGUAAGGAUGAUCCAUGUCGCAGGAAUCGUAUGAUUGAUCCGCUCCAUGCACAAAAACUCGACGGACCAGCAACAAUCCCACCACCCUAAGUGGGAUUUGUAUAUGGCCUAGUGAGCUAAAAGAAUGUAUUAAAAUUAUAAAAUAAUAAUAUUAUAUUUUUAAUAAUGAUAUACAUAUAUUAAAUGAUAAAUUAUGAUAAAAAUUUAUACUAAAGUGAAACAAAAUAAUUAAAUGAUUGAAUUUUUAAGACUAUGACCAAGUACAGCACAAUAGUAAUGUUAGUAAAUAACAAAAGUAAUAGUUUAGUUGUAUGUUACUCUUGUAUGUAUACAAUUUAUUAGCAAGUUAACACAAAUAAAAAAAUGUAUGGUCGAAACUUAUUUCUUGUAGGUGUUUACUUGCCAAGAUAAGUUUUUACAUAUGAAUAACUGUCUAUCAUAAUUUCAAGAGUCAAAUUUCAAUACGGUUAAAAAUUUUAUAUGUGUGUUGAUGAUAUAAUUAACCAAAAACUAAUGAUGGAUAUUAGGAAGUGAGUUUAAGUCUAACUCAUUCUUACAAAACCGGCUUAUAAGAUGAGGAUAGCCUCACUUAUAUAGUGUAGAUUGACUUUAUCUUUAGGCGACAUGGGAUCUUCAACAUACACCUCUCACGUCAAGGCAUGAACAUCUUGUGCGUGAGACUAAAUAUUUGUGAGUGGUCCAAUAGUGACCUGAUAACGGGUGGCACAAGAGGCUCAUCAAACCUUGCUAGGAUAGUCUCUGAAACCAUAUUGAGAAGUGAGUUUAAGCCUAACUCAUGCUCACAAAACCGACUUGUAAGAUGAGGAUUGCCCCUACUUAUAUAUUGUAAAUUAGCCUUAUCUUUAGACAGUGUGAGAUCUCCAACAACGGAAGAUUCAAGCCAUGCAGGCCAGUUCUAAGAUUCUCUUGUUUUUUCCAAGUGUUUAUUGGGAUAAAGGUGGCAAGAGAUAAAAAUUAAUUCAAAUCAUGCAAUGCAACAUAACACGCCCAAGGUAACCAAGCAUAGGACAAUGAGGCAGAGGAGUAACAGGAAAAAUCAAGUCAUAGAAAACAUAAUACAAGCAUUGAGUGCUAUUAAAAAUCCCGCAUCGACUAGAGAUAAGGACAUUUCAUAGUAUUAUAAGUACGUGCAAACCUCACCUUAGAAGCUAGUUUUAAAAGGUUGAGUUACGCUUAAAGUCCACUUUUUAAUAAGUGUCAUAAAUAUAAAGGGCGCACACCUUAAUCCAAAUUGAUUUGGUAGAGGGGUGGAGGGUAGACUUGAUUACAUUGCAUAGUUAAGUGCCAAUAUUUUCCCAUUUGGCACAAACAACCACUUAUGUAGAAGUUGAGGAAGAAGUGAGAUAAUCUUGAUAUCUAAAGCUUGAGUGGGAUAGUUGGAACCAUUUAAUUUCUCAGAAGCAAGUGUGAAAUUUGAAAAAUAGUUGUUGGGUCAAAAGAACCAUUGAAAGACAGUUAGCCCAAGAAAAGACCAAACAGAAAAUAAGGUAUUGGAAAUAUCACUCAGAGAAUGGGGUUGGGAUUGCCUGAGUGUGCGAAGUUGACAUCCAAAGGAUGAAUGGAACAAUCCAAUAACACAACACCAUGUGGUAUUGUUUGUAUGUUAUAAAAAUUGUUCGUGAGAAAGUAUUUGGACAUGUUGAGUGGCAAAAAAAUGUCACCAAAAAGAAAGGGUGACAACCAAAGAUUGGAGCAAAAAACUAGAUAUGUACUAAGUUGAAAAAAUUGUGGUUGUUGACAACAGGUCCUCAAGGUAGAUCACGAUUUUCAAGAGGUCACAUUCAGGCACUAGAUACCAUGUUUAGAAAGAGAAAACAAAAAUAUUGGACACAAGUUUAUAUUGGUUACGUACUUAAUUAUACAUAUAUAAAAAAAUAUUAUGCUUCCUCAAAUCAUAUAUUAUAAGCUUAUAAACUAGCAUUUUGAUUAUUAAAAUACAUUAUAUAACAAAAAUGUAGCAAGUUGUGUCCUAAAGAGAUUUUGAAAAAGAUAAUGGCAAUAAAACAACAUGAAUCUUAAUACAUGUUUACAAAACUGAUUUAAGAGGAACUUCUUUUCCAUAGUAUUCUCUUGCACCUCCCAUCUAUUAUAUCAUGAUAUUCACACAUUAAACUAUAUAUGUGUGUGUGUGAGUUUGUAUGAGUGGGUGUGAGUGCAUAGAUUUAUGAUGUCAAUCCAUCAUUGUAUUCCAAAGAUAAGGUUAUACACUUCAUGAAGCAAUCGUGAACUGAUACCAUGACCAUCAUCAAAAUUGCACAAUUUAACAAAACCAACAACAAUCAAGACUGGAACACAACUAAGUACAAGGUAUCAAUUUACUUUAGCAAUCAAAUACAAUAAAUUUCAUUGAAAAUACUAUAUUGAUAAACAAUAUUCAAUAAAUCAAAUCGCAAAGAAAGUAUAUGGCUUUGUUGCUUCCAGAAGUACAACUAUCAUUCAAUUACCUUUAGCAGUUCUAAAUGAUUUGCAACACAAGGUCUUAAAGCUUACCUUUUGUGCUGCUUCAGCCGUUGAAAACUCAACAUGUAAAAAGCCUUUAGGCCUCCCUUCAUGAUCUGUAUGUGGAUGAACAUAAACAAUACCUCCACAUUCUUUGAAAAGAUUUUCCCUGAACAAUCUUGAAAUUAGAAAAAAUGUACAGAACAUAAUUGAUGAGCACCUUUAUUAAAAAUAUACAUACACAUCAGCCUGUUCCACUCCACAUGACAAGUUUCCAACAUAUAUCGUAUUUGAUGAAGCAUUUUGUUCUUUCAAAGUAGGUAGCAUUUUAGGCUGCAAAAUUCCAGGAAAUAACACGUAUAUAAAUGAUUCAAAAAUUUACAUUACAUUGGAAAUUAUGGUGCAUACAACUGUAUUGCCAUUAUCUAAUGUAUAUUAGGUAAAACAGUGAGUUGUAUACAAUGUAUUUUCUCCAUCUCAUUUAUUCAAGUGGGACAAAGUGUAUUCGAAGAUUAGAGAGUAAACCAAAAACUAAGUACAAGGUUCUAUGGGCCCUAUGAGAUCACAGAGAAGCUCAAAGACAUACUUAUAGCCUGUGAUUACCAGAAGGAAGCCAACUCUACCUUGUUUUUCUAUUCACUUUGCUCAAGAAAUAACUAACUGCAACCACCCAGCCACUACCUUUGGUUCUUAGCAGAUGAUUAGGUACUUCAAGUCAUCCCUUAAGAGAUCUUAACUGUCAGGAAAAUCAGUUUGGAAUCAAAGAGGUCUUGGUGUGAUGGCAACGACUACCACCAUUUGAAGAUCUCAGGGUAACAGUAGCUGAGUUGCAGGAGAGUUUCCUAAUCGCCGCAUUGAGGAUAAGGUGUUAGUUGAACUAGGCAGAGAUGAUACAGGCCCAUUAUUUCUAAAGUAUGUGUGAAAAGGGCCAAAAUGUGUGAUGCACCUGAUCAUGGCCAAAAACGCUAAAAUGGGGGGAUGAGUAGGGAAGAACACAUAAUCAUAGAAUAGUAGUACAACUGGAGAGAGUGUAGGAGCUGGGAGGCUGGAGCUUAGUGGAAAGUGAACCUUGGAGUUUAGACUUCUCCAAGUGCCUAAGGAGAGUUUCUUUUAUUUCUUCUUCCUUGAUUAUAUCUAAACAGUGCUAUAUUUCAUGAUCUGCUCCUUAAUGCACAAAAAAAUAAUACAAAUAUUUUAAGUAAUAUUUCUCUCUUUAAUUGAUACCUAACACAAUUUUACUCAUAUUUACUCAAAAGCUGCCUCAUUUACAUCCUUAACUUCUUUCACACAAGCCUAUACACACACUCCAACAAGUCAUAUAACAGAUAAACUUUCACCUAGCUUAAGUAAAUGCAUUUUGAAAUGCUCACACUUUCAUGAGGACUUUCGUGGGCUUUUUUCUCAAUUUCUUCCUCACAGUCCUCUGAAUACUCUGUAGUCUUCAUGGGCUGAAAUCUUUCAUGCUUUUGGAAAGAGUUGCUACAACAAAUAACAUUAUUAACAAAGAAAUGGUGAGAAGAGGCAAGGAAAGAAAAUUAUAUCAUGACUGAUUUUUUUUUACAAAGCUUAUCCAAGCACCCUAAAUAGAGAAUUAUUUGCAUAACAUGACAGAAUUCCUGCAAACUCAGGAAAAUUGGUUAAAAACAGCAAUAGGAGGCAUGCCUUUGAACGG